This 344-nucleotide unclassified non-coding RNA is filed under the name Melitaea cinxia (Glanville fritillary). Its description in RNAcentral is "misc RNA ENSMCXG00005000726.1". The record is from RNAcentral. Lineage: Eukaryota; Metazoa; Arthropoda; Insecta; Lepidoptera; Nymphalidae.
UUAUGGUUCUCAUAGAAACGAGUACGAUCACUCCCAAAACUAAUAUUCCUCAACACAAGACACAAUUUGCAUCACUUAUUUCGUUUUGAAUUCGUUGUUGAUAUAAAUCAGCCCAGAAGGCAUAUUAUUAUAAUACAUUACUGACACGAAUCAAGCUGUAACUGAUUGGAAUAUCUUCUUGUUAAUUUUAAUUUAUAUUAAACGUGAAUGGAAAAUUUAAAAAUCUUACUUUGGUUUCUUGACGAGAACUUUUCAUAUUUCCCAUCGACCACUCUCGAAGCAUUCAGCGUAAUCUCUGAGAGAGUACAAGACAUUUUUACAACUAAUUUAUAAAAAAGGCAAAU